Molecule: ribosomal RNA, 435 nt
Filed under: uncultured bacterium
Lineage: Bacteria
Description: partial 16S ribosomal RNA
Rfam family: Bacterial small subunit ribosomal RNA
Source: RNAcentral
AGCGAACGCUGGCGGCAGGCUUAACACAUGCAAGUCGAGCGGGCACUGUCGGGUGUCAGCGGCGGACGGGUGAGUAACGCGUGGGAACGUGCCCUCUGGUUCGGAAUAACUCAGGGAAACUUGAGCUAAUACCGGAUACGCCCUUUUGGGGAAAGGCUUGCUGCCGGAGGAUCGGCCCGCGUCUGAUUAGCUAGUUGGUGAGGUAACGGCUCACCAAGGCGACGAUCAGUAGCUGGUCUGAGAGGAUGAUCAGCCACACUGGGACUGAGACACGGCCCAGACUCCUACGGGAGGCAGCAGUGGGGAAUAUUGGACAAUGGGCGCAAGCCUGAUCCAGCCAGGCCGCGUGAGUGAUGAAGGCCUUAGGGUUGUAAAGCUCUUUUAUCCGGGACGAUAAUGACGGUACCGGAGGAAUAAGCCCCGGCUAACUUCGUG